This is a long non-coding RNA of Vigna angularis (adzuki bean), 379 nucleotides long. RefSeq lists it as uncharacterized. NCBI's taxonomy places the organism in Eukaryota, Viridiplantae, Streptophyta, Magnoliopsida, Fabales, Fabaceae. The transcript is spliced from 2 exons. The record is from RefSeq and is a predicted model, not a curated record.
UUUAAUCAUAAUAUCAACAACAAACCUAAAUUUAUCGUUAUUGGUGUUGCUCUUCUCUUUCGGUGAUGGCUAAGAUUUCUUUCUUUUUGAUCUUCACUUUAACCCUGAUCAUUACAGCCAUUUCAAGAACAAGUGGAGCAAUGCCAGAAAAACCGUGUAUGCUAGUAUUGAAUCCAAAUUACUGCAACCUCAGUACGUGUCGUAAGGAUUGCGAGGAACAAUAUCACGGAACUGGGUAUUGCGUUGACAAAUAUCCUCACAAAUGCGUUUGUGUAUACGUUUGCUCUCGUUAAAAGGACAUGUCCUGAUGUUUAAUUUGGAAUACGAAAGAAGAAUAUAAAAUGUUUUCUAAUGUUACUUUAUACUAUUGACAGUUGAA